Molecule: long non-coding RNA, 6994 nt
Filed under: Medicago truncatula (barrel medic)
Lineage: Eukaryota; Viridiplantae; Streptophyta; Magnoliopsida; Fabales; Fabaceae
Description: long non-coding RNA (MTRU_LNC000957)
Source: RNAcentral
AGUACAACGCUGUGUUGGUCGUCGUCUUGUGCGGCGUUUGAUUUCACGUCUUGUCGCGGCGUUCGUUUAGUUUCUAUUGAAAGAUUGACAUCGGUCAAUUAUAAAUCCAAUCAAUGAUUUGGGUGUGAAUGUUGCCGAUCUAGAAACAUGAGUAUUUCGGUGACUUAGAUUUAAUCAUAUUAGUUGUAGCAUUUUGUCAUUUUAUGUUAUUAACUUGGGUGCUGUGAGUUUGUUCGCAGUUUUACCCUUUACGUUUCUAGCGAUUUUUGUAUCUGAUGUACUCUAUCAAUCUGAAUGAAUGAAUAUCGUUUUGUUUUUAUUAAAAAAAAAAAAUAAAAAAAAAACUAACGGUUAAAAGUUUGCUCUACAUGCCUACAAUGAUAAUAAAUAGAGAUAAUUUACUACAACUUUUAAAACAAUGAUGCUCAUUUAUAGGAACUUUACCAUAAAUAAGUCUCCAAAGAAAAAAUGAUUUGGAUUGAGGAAUUGAAGGUUUCCAAAUAAGCUAUGUCCAUGAUUGAUCAUAUGCAGAAACUUGACAAAAACUAUCAGCAUCCUAAACUGAAAGAGAACCUGAUGAAGAACCCUUCUAAGCAAGAUAUUCAGUGGAAAACUAUACCCCGAUAUUUAUCAAAUUUCAUAUUUCACCAAUUCAACUCUCUCUAUCAAUAGUAUAUAUAUAAAGUAAGAUUUUUUAUGACACGUGUCACUUCCACGUUUAUUCGCAAUAUUUUUAUUUUUUUUCUAAUUUUUCAAAACCAAUAUUUAAUUUGGCAUAAAUAUCUCAACAAACUUUUGAUCUUAUCUAUUAAAUAUUUUACUUAACUAUUUAUUGAAUUCCUAAUAUUUUAUGUAAUAGAAAUAUCUCAACAAAAUUACAUACGAUACCCUUCAAUUAAAAAUCAUCAAUCAAUCAAUAGUAUAUAUAGUAAGGUUUCUUAUGCCACGUGUCACUUUCAUGUUUAUUCGCAAUAUUUUUAUUAUUUUUAUAUUUUUUAAAAUCAAUAUUUAAUUUUGUAAAAAAAAAAUCAAUAUUUAAUUUGGCAUAAAUAUUUCAACAAAAUUUUAACCUUAGGGAUGGCAAUGGGUACCCUAUCCCAAUGGAUAGGGUACUAUAGUACCCUAUCCAUUGGGUACUCAUUGCCAUAAAUGUAUUGGUCUAUUCUCCACUAUCAUAAAUAUAAAGUGAAAUAUAUUGAAUUGGAAAUGAUGAAAGUAGUAUUAAUUAGAGUUAUAAUUGAAAAAAAAAGUAAUUAAUAAUUGUAUUGAAAAGUUAAAUGCAUCAAGAUUUUUGAGACAAUAUUUUUUACAAAUAACUUAGUUAUUAUGGGACGGAGGGAGUAACACUUUAACAUGACAAUGAAAAGUAAAUUUAAGAAUUAAAAUGCAAGAAAUGAAGAGAAUGUUUCUCUAACACAAAACUAUUUUUUUUUUCUCUUUCACUUAUACACUUUUUUAAUGUGUAAAAUAAAAAAUAAAAAAAACUUAUGUAUAAUGAGACGGAGGGAGUAGUUAGUAAGAACAAAGUCGUCAAGGAACCAAUUAACUCUUGAUUUCACUUCCCAAAAACGUCUUGAUAGUGCUAUACUCCCUCCGUCCCAAAUUAUAAGCAAAAAAACAAAAAUCACACUUAUUAAGAAAACUAAAACAUAAAAAUUUGGAGUAUAGUUUUUUGUGUUUUCGUUGGAAAAAGUUUUAUAGGAAGAUGUAAAAACAAUUUUCAUUGGCUAUUGAUUAUGGAAAAAAUGAAAGAAAGAGAAAAUUGAAUGUAAUUUGCAUUUAAUUUUAUGAGAAUAACAAAAAAAAAUCUUGGAAAAGAUUAAAAUUUGUCUUUUUUCCUUAUAUUUUGGGACAAAGAAAAUGAAUUUCUUUUGCUUAUAUUAUGGAACGGAGGGAGUACUUGGUUAAGCUGGAUUGAGCAUUCAAUUCUAAUUUAAGGGCCUUUAAUUUACCUUAAAGAAUAAACAUAGGACAACCAACCACAUAAUUAUUUAUACCAAACAUUUUCCACCACGUGGGUGAUAUCUGGAAGAUGAGAGUCCAUUUAAGUGAGUCAAUGUGACGAAAAAAAAGAUAAAAUGGCAAUUUUAGGAUCGUAAAUUUCUGAAAAUAAUGGAAGUAGUAAUUCUUUUAACGUUUUCAUUGUUUUAAAAAAAUUAUCCAAUCAUAUUUUAUAUGCAAUUUUUGUUUUUUAGAUUAAUUAAACAAUAAAUUUUGUUAACCAGUGUCCUAAGGGUGAUGAUUAAGGAAUUCAAAUGUAAAAGUUUUGUCUUGUAAUUGUAGGAUGUUACAUUUGAUCAAGUAAUGAUUAUACUACUUUUUAUUAAAAACUUACUUGAUUUAGUUGUUUAACCAGUGUGAACACUAGUUAACAUUCUCCUUAAAUAAUUGAUGUUUCUGAAAUAUAAUAUAUAUAUAUAUAUAUAUAUAGCUCAGAUACAUCACUUAUUUAAUGAAGAGUUUUUUUUUUUUCCUUCUCUUAAUUAACGAAUAAAACUAACACUUAUAUAUCUACCAAAAAAAAAAAAAAACUAACACUUAUAUAAUAUAGUUCGGAUACAAUAUAUUUAUAUAAUAUAAUCCGGAUACAUCACUUAUAUAAUCAACAUUGCUAUUUACCGCGACAAGUUUUGUCCCGAAUGCAUCAAGAAUGAAAAUAAGCCAAUUAAAAACAGCUGUUAGUGGAAAUCAUGGGAGGUGGGGGAGAAAAAGAUGGAAAUCAUAAACUAAUGGAUGGAUGGCAUACAUGCCACAUGUGUCUGGAAAAUCUCGGGACAGUUUUAUUUCGUGUGAAAUAGCAUUUUUCCUUAUAUAAUAUAGUCCAGGUACAAGGCAACUAUCACCGGAUGAGGUUUUAUCUUUUUAUUAAUGAAUAAAACUUUUUUUAAGAAGCUAAAUGCAAAAUAUAUUAAAAACCAAAUUAGUUAAGCACAAGAUGUGCCAAACGAAAAACUGUGUAUAACGUCAAAGUAACAAACUCGAUAAAGAAAGAAACCACAAAUAAUAAAAAUCAAAAGCGAAAUUCAGUUUAUGUGUCUUUAGCCACCACAAAAAAUGAAAUUUAAUAUUGUCGAGAAGUUGAUCCUUAGAAGACACGUUGUUAUUGAAAUUUCUCGAGUUUCUCUCCUUCCAAAUUCUCUCCUUCGAAAUAACUCAAAGACAUGUCAGCACACCACUUUAAAACAAGAGCUAAUGUCCUUCCUGAAAGCAUGCGCGCCAAAAAAUUGUUGUGCGUGACAACCAAUAUUUGAUGGAACGACGGUAGUUUUACCCUACCAGAUCAACAAACACCCUACCAGAUCAACAAACAGGGAAAAUAAAUAAAAAAUAUUUUUGCAAAGUAAUUAAACGGAUUCUAAUGUUUAAUAGGAACCGAUCGAGGACAACAUAGAAAUCAUGCUGGAAUUUGAAGAAGAAAUACAAACCUAAUUAAAGAGAGGGGCUAAGUAUUUCCAAGCUGGAACUUGAAAAAGAAAAACCAUGCUCUAAUUAAGUAACUAAGUAAGGUAGUACAUUACAACAAUUGAGAUAAGUACGACACAUUAUGAUGAUUAUGACUUAUGAGCUGUUAAAUGAUGUUGUAGGAUUACUUUUUUCUUGUCAAAAAUAAAUAAAUGAUGUUGUAGGAGAAACAUUAUUAUAAACAUUAUUAUAACUUACAAGGACUAAUGUUUAAAAAAAAAAACUUACAAGGACUAAUAAUGAGACAGAACGAAAGUGUACGUGAGUGUAGGAGACACGUUAUUAUAACAUUUUAUAAAUAUUUAAACGUUGAUAAUAAUUUUGUCGAUCUAUAAACCACUACCAAUUCCUAGUUAAAUAUAUAAUAAUUUUUAUUAUAUUUGUUAGUUGAUGGUAAAAGAUGAAUAUAAUUUGUUACUAUAUUUUUUUUUGACAAAAUAAUUUGUUGCUAUUUAAAAUUCAUAAAUAUAGUCUAUACAUAUAAUUUUAAUAAAAAUAAAAAUUCACCCAAAAAAAAAUCAAAAAUUUCAUAAAAAAAUAAAUAUUGUUUAUAAUUCACGAGCGUUGUCGCAGUACAAAAAUGGAUAGAUGGAUACCCAGUACUAGUAAUUAAUGAAGUUAAUUGGUAAAAUUUCACUCUUACUGGUGGUUGAUGGUAGGGGUGUUUACGGUGCGGUUUGGUUCGGUUUUGAGAGAAAAAGUCAUCCAAACCGCAAGAUAAAAAAACAUGCGGUUUGUGUAACACCCACAGCUGACGAGGGCAGGGGAGUGGUCACCGGUGCACAAGGCACGCCAAUGAGCGGCUCCCGACAGCUUCUAGAGGAACCGAAUCACAUCUGAAUGAGAGGGAUCCUGAGGCCGUGUAGGUGUGGGACUACAUGAAUGAAGGAAUGCUUAUAAGAAUUGUUUGGUAAUACCUAUAUCAACAAGGUGCAUCUUCUUUUUGGUACCCUAUUCCAUAAGAACUCCACAGUUAAGCGUGCUUGACUUGGAGUAGUCUUUGGAUGGGUGACCUACCGGGAUUCCCGAUAAGCAUGCGAGUGAGGACAAAACACGCUGAAAAGACUCGUGUUGGUUUGUAGGGUCAGUCGACAAUGCUUAAAGUCGUCUGGGAUGUUACAGUUUGGUUUGGUUCGGUUGGCUUUAAAAUAAAAUCCGAACCAAACCAAACCAAUAUGGUUUGGGUUGUAUCGGUUGGUGCGGUUUUUUUCGUGACGAUACGAUUUUUUGUUUCCAACAUUAAAAUCAAGAUAAAAAGCUGAAACACAAUAUAUUUUCAACAAUGUUUUAAAUUUCAUCAAACAUUACAAUUUCAUUUUCAUUACAAUGUUUCCAACAACAUAAACCAAAUUAAAAACGCGGACAAAAAGUAAUCUUAUUUUGUAAGAAAUGCAAAAGACUGAGAUGUUCUCAUUCUCUAAAAGUUAAGUAGCACAUAAAUACAUUUUUAAAUAAAAAGCAAAUAAUGAACUUAACAAGAGAAAAAAAAUAUGACAUUUUAUAAAAGUUUUCAUUGAGUUUCUAUGAGUAUUGGUCUUGAUGACAUAUGUUUAAUUAACAUUUUUCUUAUGUUAUGGUUUGGUUUGGUUUUGUAUCUAUUUGACAGUCUCUUUGUACUUUGAGCGACCUCUUUAGUACGCCUUAUGCUAAAGAGGUGUCUCUCUUAUUGUGAAUAUAUAUCAUUUUACCUUCUUAAAAAAAAGUUAAUUGGUAAAAAAAAAAAAAAUUUCUCUCUUGAUUUAUAUGAAAUGACAUUUUUUUUUGGAACAUGGAGGGUAUUGAUUUUUACACCUUUUCAAAAGCCACUCAAGGAUGAAUAUAGAUUUUUCAUGCAUCAAACACAAGAAUCAUUAGCAUAACAUGCUUUGGAAAACACACACAUAUACUUAAAUUAAUGGUUGGAGUAUCAAAUUUAAAAAUAUUGUUGUCAAUACAUACCCCGUCAAUCCUCCUUUUUUACCCAAUAAACAUUGAAAUGUUGCUUCUUUCGUUAAGCAUAAAAACAUCAAAGUCUAGCAAAAUGUUGUUUUUGCGAUGACACAUUUCAUAUAGUUUAAAGGAUGCAUGAUUCGAUUACAAAAACAAAAUACUAAUAAUUCUAGCACAAAGUUUAAAGCUAAGAUUAUAAAGCUUCAUAGCAUGUGGAUAUUCAUUUAGAAAUAUAGGAUUAGGAUUGCCCCUUUCAUCACGGGUCUAAUAGCACCACUUGUCACUACAUGUUAAAAAUGUCCUCUAGUACAACACCGCUUUUUACUUGAUUCCCCUUGUCCAUGAAAAAAUCAAACAAUAUUUGGACACAAAAAUUUGCCCCCACUUUCCUUUUUCUUCUGCCCUAGUUUGUUUGAAAACUCAUAUUGAUCAAAUUUGGCUAUGAAUUCAAACAAAAAAUUCACUCUGCCCAUUGCAUGUGUGGGACCCACAUAUAAAUCCAUGAAGGAUUUCAAUGUCCAUCCAAGUCAAUGAUUCAACAUAUAACAUUGAAUAAUUUAAUUCCAAUUUGCAGUAUUAUGAUUUAGAUUGAUUGCUGCAAUACGGUCCGUGAAUGUAACUCACGAGAAAGAGGUAUCAAGGUAUUUUAUUUUAUUUUUAACAAAUAAAAUUUCAAGGUCUUGUUCACCAUAUAAACCUCCUCACUCUCACUCAAUUCUCUUAAGUGUAUGACUUCAUAGUAAACUACACUACUUUCUUUAAAACAUGGCUAACUAUGCUAUAGCCAAUGUUUUGAUCCUUCUCUUGAACUUGAGUACCUUACUCAAUGUUCUUGCUUGCCCUUAUUGUCCUUACCCAAGCCCUAAACCACCUUCACACCACCCUCCUAUUGUUAAGCCACCAGUUCACAAACCACCAAAGCAUUCUCCUACUCCUAAACCACCAGUUCAUAAACCACCAAGAUAUCCUCCUAAACCAUCACCUUGUCCACCCCCAUCAUCAACACCAAAACCACCUCAUCAUCCCAAACCCCCAGCAGUACACCCACCACAUGUUCCAAAACCACAUCCACCUUAUGUUCCAAAACCACCAAUUGUUAAACCUCCAAUAGUACAUCCACCUUACGUACCAAAACCCCCAGUUGUGAAACCACCACCAUAUGUCCCUAAACCACCUGUUGUGAGACCACCCUAUGUUCCUAAACCACCAGUUGUACCUGUAACACCACCUUAUGUUCCUAAGCCACCAAUUGUUUUCCCACCACAUGUUCCUCUACCUCCAGUUGUACCAUCACCACCACCUUAUGUACCAACACCUCCAAUUGUGAAACCACCAAUUGUUUUUCCACCACAUGUUCCUCUACCUCCAGUUGUGCCUGUAACACCACCUUAUGUGCAACCACCACCUAUUGUAACUCCACCAACACCAACACCUCCAAUUGUGACACCACCAACACCACCUAGUGAAACACCUUGUCCUCCACCACCACUUGUACCUUAUCCACCACCACCAGCACAACAAACAUGUUCCAUUGAUGCUUUGAAGUUGGGUGCAUGUGUUGAUGUGCUUGGUGGACUCAUACAUAUUGGUAUAGGUGGAAGUG